This is a long non-coding RNA of Cyprinodon tularosa, 558 nucleotides long. RefSeq lists it as uncharacterized. Lineage: Eukaryota; Metazoa; Chordata; Actinopteri; Cyprinodontiformes; Cyprinodontidae. The transcript has 3 exons. The record is from RefSeq and is a predicted model, not a curated record.
UGUGCGUGUGUAUUUGUGUGUUUGUGCAUGUCCAAAACAAUUAUAAUUUAGAUCUACUGUUCCAUGGUAACCGUGGCCGGUCACAUGAUAUACUGGAUCAUGUGACCGGCCGCGUCAGCUUCACACAACGUGCCCUCAAGCUAACCUUACUACCGUGACGUGCCCUGCUGCUGCGGAUAACCACUGCGACUCCAGAAAAAGUAAACAACUGGUCAGAGAUGCCUCGUAAGGAGAGGAGGUUGAAACAAAAACAAAAGGAGCUGUGUGAGGCUGCAAAAGGCAGUGGAUCACUCACCAGCUGGAUGACAAAGAGCACAAAAGUGUCUGUACCAUCAGAUUAAUACAGCCCAACUCCAGCAACACAGAAGCACCAACCCCCUCAACAGAAGCUGUUUCAUGAGGUAAAACACACUCAUUUCGCUUUGCACUGACCUCAAACAAAUAUGUGAGUAUGUGUGAUAGGGUGUAUUUUGAUUCUACGUUCCAUUAUUUAUAGUAUGGGUUGGUACAUUUCAACCAGUUGUACAGCAAGGUAUGUUUCUGUAUAAUGUUUUAAAU